AAAUUAAAAUUUCAAAAUUUUAAUUUCAAUUUUCAAAUUUUAAAAUUUUUUCAGAUUUUUUUUUUAUUUUAGUACCCUAUAGUUUAAGACUUAGUUUGAUAUUGAGGUUUAUCUAACACUAUUAGAUAGAAUGGAGUUAAGAAAAAGUAUAUAGAGAUAUACUUCUACGUUCUCUGAUGGGACCGCAGAAAAUAUAUCGUAACCGACUAACCGCAAUAUGCGGAAUACAAUAUUACAUACGGAAACAAACAUAGUAUUUUUCCAUCGUCGUUUUUCACCGCACGUAACGCAAUCUCCCGCAAUCCCAAACGAAGCAAAGUGUAUCAAUUUAGCACUCCAUGAUUUUAUUUUUUAUUAUUUCCUCCACUAAUUUUUUUUCUUUGAAUUAGUAAUAAAAUUAAAACUAAAAAAUACUAAAGUAAAUAUUCGAUAAAUCUAAGUGGGGUAUCUGAAAAUUUUUCUAUAUAAUUUAACGAAAUGUUAACGAAUAGCUGACAAAAGAAAAAAAAAUAAAAUCACAGGAUACUAAAUUGAUACAAUUUAAAUUACAGGGUACUAAAGUGAGAAGUAUAAAACUAUAGGAGUGACAUUUGAAGUUUAUCCAAAAAAAUUAAAAUAUCGAUUUUGUCCUUAACUUAAGAACAAAUAAGAAAAAUUUUAAUGAUAAAAUAUUAUAUUUGAAAAAAUAAAAAAAAUAAUAUAUUUUUUAGCUCUGUCCUAAUAUUUUCAAAUAUGUCCCUCUAGUUUGUUACUGCUAGAGAAUCAUUAGAAAACUGUUUAUAUUUUUAAUUUUACUAUUAUAAAUAUGUCCCUCUA
RNAcentral lists this long non-coding RNA (816 nucleotides) under Ananas comosus (pineapple). RNAcentral describes it as "long non-coding RNA (ACOM_LNC039397)". Lineage: Eukaryota; Viridiplantae; Streptophyta; Magnoliopsida; Poales; Bromeliaceae. The record is from RNAcentral.